AACAUAUGUAUACAUUUAUGCAUGUAUGUACUUAUAUAUGAGGGGUGUUCAUUAAAGAUUUCCCAUGACCCACUUCCCAAGGACUGGGAUAAACGAAACUUGGCAUAAGUAUUAGUCCUUCUUCUACAUAGCCACCACCAAUGGCAUACACACAC
This is a long non-coding RNA of Octopus sinensis (East Asian common octopus), 155 nucleotides long. RefSeq lists it as uncharacterized. The transcript has 3 exons. The record is from RefSeq and is a predicted model, not a curated record. Lineage: Eukaryota; Metazoa; Mollusca; Cephalopoda; Octopoda; Octopodidae.